This is a long non-coding RNA of Gavialis gangeticus (Gharial), 148 nucleotides long. RefSeq lists it as uncharacterized. Lineage: Eukaryota; Metazoa; Chordata; Crocodylia; Gavialidae. The transcript is spliced from 3 exons. The record is from RefSeq and is a predicted model, not a curated record.
CACGACGAGAGACAUGCUUGGAUGGGAUGGGCUCCACCUUUCCCCUAAAGGUAAGCGUGUAUUUUCUUCUAGGUUGGAGGACCUCCUCCGGUAGGCUUUAAACUAGGCUCGUCGGGGGAAGGGGAAGACUAGGGCAGAGGAAGCUGUG